AACGAACGCUGGCGGCAGGCUUAACACAUGCAAGUCGAGCGCCCCGCAAGGGGAGCGGCAGACGGGUGAGUAACACGUGGGAACCUACCUGGUGGUACGGAACAACACAGGGAAACUUGUGCUAAUACCGUAUAAGUCCUUCGGGAGAAAGAUUUAUCGCCAUCAGAUGGGCCCGCGUCGGAUUAGCUAGUUGGUGUGGUAACGGCGCACCAAGGCGACGAUCCGUAGCUGGUCUGAGAGGAUGAUCAGCCACACUGGGACUGAGACACGGCCCAGACUCCUACGGGAGGCAGCAGUGGGGAAUCUUAGACAAUGGGGGCAACCCUGAUCUAGCCAUGCCGCGUGAGUGAUGAAGGCCCUAGGGUUGUAAAGCUCUUUCAGCUGGGAAGAUAAUGACGGUACCAGCAGAAGAAGCCCCGGCUAACUCCGUGCCAGCAGCCGCGGUAACAC
RNAcentral lists this ribosomal RNA (450 nucleotides) under uncultured bacterium. RNAcentral describes it as "bacterial SSU rRNA". It matches the Rfam family "Bacterial small subunit ribosomal RNA", at positions 29 to 526 of the family's 1533-position model. The record is from RNAcentral.